AGGAUGUAACCAGGACGUCCACCAAUGUCUCCAGGAACUGGGAUAUACCGGCGCCUUCACCAUUUUCCAAGGAUGUAACCAGGACGACCAUCAGUGCCUCCAGGAGUUGGAAUAUAUAGGCGUCGUCCUUCAUUAUUCUCCAAGGAUGCAACCCAGACGACCAUCAG
Molecule: long non-coding RNA, 167 nt
Organism: Agrilus planipennis (emerald ash borer)
Lineage: Eukaryota; Metazoa; Arthropoda; Insecta; Coleoptera; Buprestidae
Exons: 4
Source: RefSeq, a predicted model, not a curated record